AGCCUAGUGGUUAAGGCUAUGGAUCACCAAUCCGGAGACGGCGGGUUCGAUUCCCGU
Molecule: non-coding RNA, 57 nt
Organism: Aedes albopictus (Asian tiger mosquito)
Lineage: Eukaryota; Metazoa; Arthropoda; Insecta; Diptera; Culicidae
Source: Rfam